UACGUAGGGGUCUAGCGUUGUCCGGAAUUACUGGGCGUAAAGGGCUCGUAGGCGGCCAACUAAGUCGGACGUGAAAUCCCCAGGCUCAACCUGGGAACUGCGUCUGAUACUGGAUGGCUUGAAUCCGGGAGAGGGAUGCAGAAUUCCAGGUGUAGCGGUGAAAUGCGUAGAUAUCUGGAGGAAUACCGGUGGCGAAGGCGGCAUCCUGGACCGGCAUUGACGCUGAGGAGCGAAAGCCAGGGGAGCAAACGGG
Molecule: ribosomal RNA, 253 nt
Filed under: uncultured bacterium
Lineage: Bacteria
Description: partial 16S ribosomal RNA
Rfam family: Bacterial small subunit ribosomal RNA
Source: RNAcentral